This 762-nucleotide long non-coding RNA is filed under the name Struthio camelus australis. Its description in RNAcentral is "lncRNA (ENSSCUG00000018458.1)". The record is from RNAcentral. Lineage: Eukaryota; Metazoa; Chordata; Aves; Struthioniformes; Struthionidae.
CUGCAUCAUGGGAAGCGAUAUAGCUUGUGAAAAUCAUUCUUGGUAGUUUUUCCUCCCCUCUUGGUGGAUCCUGGGAGGGGAAGGGAGAAGACAAGGUCUCCGAAGACAAGGUCUCCAAAGACAAGGCCGGAUUUCCAGCAGGAAGGGCAGCAUGUCCUUAGAUAAGACACUUACUGGAAGGGGAAGGAUGGGAAAUGUUGAUUCGUCAGCAACUGUUGUGAAACAAAUAUUUAGAAAAUGGCUACAUUUGCGUGUUGUUUAUAAAUAAUCGUGUUUUUAAAUUCCAAUGUCAACAGUGAUUGUGCUGGGAAGCACUGGACAAUCCGGCAACUUUGUCCACACACCGGCACCUUUUUUUAGUUGUCUGCAGAAAUAAAGAGGGUGUGAGAACCCCUGGAGCCAAACUGAUGAGGAACCAAGGAGUUAUUUAGAGCAACGGGCUGGAACAUUUAGACUUGAGCGUGGACCAUGCCAUACACAGUGUCUAGGAGGGACAGUGUGACCAGCGGAAAACAACGUCAAUCCCAGUGAGGUGUGUCAUCGGGACCUGUCUUACUGCAUCCUCCCUUGCUUUUCCCCUUAAAAGCCACACCGAUGAUGCUGGAGGAGAGUUUGCCUUUGCUCCUCGUGGCAGAUCCUGAAAGCGUGAUUUCAUGUUCACGAUUUUCACAUCCAAAGCGAGAAGACUUCAGAAGGCAAGUGGGGCCUGCCAGCAAUGCUGACCUGUUGCCCGGCUGCCCCAGGUGCUGCAGAGGUCGCUGA